GACGAACGCUGGCGGCGUGCCUAACACAUGCAAGUCGAACGAAAAGUCCGGGUCUUUUGGCGCCCGGCGGCGGAAGGUGUGGGGACCUGCACUUGGGUUCGGACUACCUCCCCGAAAGGGAUGCUCAUACCAGAUAGUGUCUUCGGACCAAGGAUUUAUUGCCUUGGGUUGGGCCCUCGUUGGAUUCGGUAGUUGGUAGGGUAAUAGCCUACUAAGGCGAGGAUGCAUAGCUGGUCGGAGAGGAUGAUCAGCAACACUGGAACUCAGACACGGCCGAGACUCCUACGGAAGGGAGGAGAGGGGAACAGUGGACAAUGGGGGAAGGCCUGAUCCAGCAAUGCCGCGUGAGUGAUGAAGGCCGUAGGGUUGUAAUGCUCUUUUACCCGUGAUGAUAAUGACGGUACCGGGUGAAUAAGCACCGGCUAACUCCGUG
RNAcentral lists this ribosomal RNA (433 nucleotides) under uncultured bacterium. RNAcentral describes it as "partial 16S ribosomal RNA". It matches the Rfam family "Bacterial small subunit ribosomal RNA", at positions 28 to 507 of the family's 1533-position model. The record is from RNAcentral.